GAUGAACGCUGGCGGCGUGCUUAACACAUGCAAGUCGAACGAAGCACUUUAUUUGAUUUCCUUCGGGACUGAUUAUUUUGUGACUGAGUGGCGGACGGGUGAGUAACGCGUGGGUAACCUGCCUUGUACAGGGGGAUAACAGUUGGAAACGGCUGCUAAUACCGCAUAAGCGCACGGCAUCGCAUGAUGCAGUGUGAAAAACUCCGGUGGUAUAAGAUGGACCCGCGUUGGAUUAGCUAGUUGGUGAGGUAACGGCCCACCAAGGCGACGAUCCAUAGCCGACCUGAGAGGGUGACCAGCCACAUUGGGACUGAGACACGGCCCAAACUCCUACGGGAGGCAGCAGUGGGGAAUAUUGCACAAUGGGCGAAAGCCUGAUGCAGCGACGCCGCGUGAGCGAAGAAGUAUUUCGGUAUGUAAAGCUCUAUCAGCAGGGAAGAUAAUGACGGUACCUGACUAAGAAGCACCGGCUAAAUACGUG
This 481-nucleotide ribosomal RNA is filed under the name uncultured bacterium. Its description in RNAcentral is "partial 16S ribosomal RNA". It matches the Rfam family "Bacterial small subunit ribosomal RNA", at positions 28 to 507 of the family's 1533-position model. The record is from RNAcentral.